RNAcentral lists this ribosomal RNA (396 nucleotides) under uncultured bacterium. RNAcentral describes it as "partial 16S ribosomal RNA". It matches the Rfam family "Bacterial small subunit ribosomal RNA", at positions 338 to 732 of the family's 1533-position model. The record is from RNAcentral.
CCUACGGGUGGCUGCAGUGAGGAAUAUUGGUCAAUGGCCGGAAGGCUGAACCAGCCAAGCCGCGUGAAGGAUGAAGGUGCCAAGCAUUGUAAACUUCUUUUGUAUAGGGACAAAACCAGGCUUGAGAGCCUGCACGAGUGUACUUUAAGAAAAAGCAUCGGCUAACUCCGUGCCAGCAGCCGCGGUAAUACGGAGGAUGCGAGCGUUAUCCGGAUUUAUUGGGUUAAAAGGGUGCGCAGGGGGAAGAUCAGGUCAGUGGUAAAAUUAAGGGGCUCAACCUCUUCGUGCCGUUGAAACUGGUAUUCUUGAGUGAAUGAGAAGUAUGCGGAAUGCGUGGUGUAGCGGUGAAAUGCAUAGAUAUCAUGAAGAACUCCGAUUGCGAAGGCAGCAUACCGG